GGGCCAGUGGCUUAGCCAGGUGGAGCGACAGGCUCUUAACUUGUUGGUCGAGGGUUCGCGUGAACUGAACUCCAGCUCACGGCCCA
This 86-nucleotide transfer RNA is filed under the name Candidatus Thorarchaeota archaeon. RNAcentral describes it as "tRNA-Lys". The record is from RNAcentral. Lineage: Archaea; Promethearchaeati; Candidatus Thorarchaeota.